Molecule: ribosomal RNA, 274 nt
Filed under: uncultured bacterium
Lineage: Bacteria
Description: partial 16S ribosomal RNA
Rfam family: Bacterial small subunit ribosomal RNA
Source: RNAcentral
AUACGGAGGGUGCAAGCGUUAAUCGGAAUUACUGGGCGUAAAGCGCGCGUAGGCGGAUAAUUAAGUCAGAUGUGAAAUCCCUGGGCUCAACCUAGGAACUGCAUUUGAUACUGGUUAUCUAGAGUAUGGUAGAGGUGAGUGGAAUUUCAGGUGUAGCGGUGAAAUGCGUAGAGAUCUGAAGGAACAUCAGUGGCGAAGGCGACUCACUGGGCCAUUACUGACGCUCAGGUGCGAAAGCGUGGGUAGCAAACAGGAUUAGAAACCCGAGUAGUCC